This is a non-coding RNA of Populus trichocarpa (black cottonwood), 155 nucleotides long. Lineage: Eukaryota; Viridiplantae; Streptophyta; Magnoliopsida; Malpighiales; Salicaceae. The record is from Rfam.
UCUAGAACUCGAGAUAUGGGCUAAACACUGAACAUUGUCUAUGCUGCAGAACAAAUUCCGACUUCUUCGUUGUUACUUCAAUUUAAACUUGAAAACGACAUUUUUAAAUCUUGGACUCUCAUGAAAGUUUUAGGCCUAUGUCUUAGAUUUCCAUC